This 450-nucleotide ribosomal RNA is filed under the name uncultured bacterium. RNAcentral's name for it is "partial 16S ribosomal RNA". It matches the Rfam family "Bacterial small subunit ribosomal RNA", at positions 354 to 796 of the family's 1533-position model. The record is from RNAcentral.
GUGGGGAAUUUUGGACAAUGGGCGCAAGCCUGAUCCAGCAAUGCCGCGUGCAGGAAGAAGGCCUUCGGGUUGUAAACUGCUUUUGUACGGAACGAAACGGUCCUGGCUAAUAUCCGGGGCUAAUGACGGUACCGUAAGAAUAAGCACCGGCUAACUACGUGCCAGCAGCCGCGGUAAUACGUAGGGUGCGAGCGUUAAUCGGAAUUACUGGGCGUAAAGCGUGCGCAGGCGGUGCUGUAAGACAGGCGUGAAAUCCCCGGGCUCAACCUGGGAAUUGCGCUUGUGACUGCAAGGCUGGAGUGCGGCAGAGGGGGAUGGAAUUCCGCGUGUAGCAGUGAAAUGCGUAGAUAUGCGGAGGAACACCGAUGGCGAAGGCAAUCCCCUGGGCCUGCACUGACGCUCAUGCACGAAAGCGUGGGGAGCAAACAGGAUUAGAAACCCCUGUAGUCC